Molecule: ribosomal RNA, 492 nt
Filed under: uncultured bacterium
Lineage: Bacteria
Description: partial 16S ribosomal RNA
Rfam family: Bacterial small subunit ribosomal RNA
Source: RNAcentral
GAUGAACGCUAGCUACAGGCUUAACACAUGCAAGUCGAGGGGAAACGACAUCGAAAGCUUGCUUUUGAUGGGCGUCGACCGGCGCACGGGUGAGUAACGCGUAUCCAACCUGCCCAUCACUUGGGGAUAACCUUGCGAAAGUAAGACUAAUACCCAAUGAUAUCUCUGGAAGACAUCUGAAAGAGAUUAAAGAUUUAUCGGUGAUGGAUGGGGAUGCGUCUGAUUAGCUUGUUGGCGGGGUAACGGCCCACCAAGGCAACGAUCAGUAGGGGUUCUGAGAGGAAGGUCCCCCACAUUGGAACUGAGACACGGUCCAAACUCCUACGGGAGGCAGCAGUGAGGAAUAUUGGUCAAUGGGCGAGAGCCUGAACCAGCCAAGUAGCGUGCAGGAAGACGGCCCUAUGGGUUGUAAACUGCUUUUAUAAGGGAAUAAAGUGAGAGUCGUGACUCUUUUUGUAUGUACCUGAUGAAUAAGGACCGGCUAAUUCCGUG